UAUGCUUUUAUUUGUGUUGUCCGGUCCAUUAAAAGCUUUAACAUAUCUGUUAACGCAUGGUAUAGUUGGUUUCAUGAUGGGCUUUAUAUGGAGGUUCUCCUAAGAGGUCCAAAGAAUGCUCGUGAAACUAUGAAAAACAUUGGCCCAGCUUUUGGUGUGCCACACAGCCAUUCCAAACCACAUGUGCGAUCAAAGGGAAGGAAGUUUGAGAGAGUUAGAGGGACAAGGAAUAGCAAAGGAUUUAGAGUUUGAGUUGUUUUUAGUUCCAAAAUGUCAGUCAAUUAUUUUAUUUUUGAUUAUUAUGUCCCAAAUUUUGUUAGACUCUAGGUUCCAAUGGAACUUGUUUAUGUUAUUAUUAAUUCCUAGCUUGAACUUUUUAUGUUAUUUUCCCUUGGGCUUAUUAAUUACUAACUUAAAUUGUUUAUGUUA
This is a long non-coding RNA of Hevea brasiliensis (rubber tree), 429 nucleotides long. RefSeq lists it as uncharacterized. Lineage: Eukaryota; Viridiplantae; Streptophyta; Magnoliopsida; Malpighiales; Euphorbiaceae. The record is from RefSeq and is a predicted model, not a curated record. The transcript has 3 exons.